This is a long non-coding RNA of Xenia sp. Carnegie-2017, 214 nucleotides long. RefSeq lists it as uncharacterized. The transcript is spliced from 2 exons. The record is from RefSeq and is a predicted model, not a curated record. NCBI's taxonomy places the organism in Eukaryota, Metazoa, Cnidaria, Anthozoa, Malacalcyonacea, Xeniidae.
UACCUUGUCAAACUUUUUUAUAAUAUUUGUUAUUUUUUGAUUCAGAGGAUACGAUAUUGGUAAUCAUUUCAGUGAAUGGAUAUUUGAUUAUAAUCAUCCACAUUAUCCCUUUUUUACCGGAGACGUCACCAAAUAUGCUUCUUAUGAUCAAAAGGUAUUUUUUGUCCGUGCGUAUUUACAAGCUUACAAUGAAACGACUGACGUCACGUUAGAC